Molecule: ribosomal RNA, 697 nt
Filed under: uncultured bacterium
Lineage: Bacteria
Description: bacterial SSU rRNA
Rfam family: Bacterial small subunit ribosomal RNA
Source: RNAcentral
AACGCUAGCUACAGGCUUAACACAUGCAAGUCGAGGGGAAACGAUAGAGAAAGCUUGCUUUUUCUAGGCGUCGACCGGCGCACGGGUGAGUAACGCGUAUCCAACCUGCCCACCACUUGGGAAUAACCUUGCGAAAGUAAGACUAAUGCCCAAUGACAUUUAUAGAAGGCAUCUGAAAUGAAUUAAAGAUUUAUCGGUGAUGGAUGGGGAUGCGUCUGAUUAGCUUGUUGGCGGGGUAACGGCCCACCAAGGCGACGAUCAGUAGGGGUUCUGAGAGGAAGGUCCCCCACAUUGGAACUGAGACACGGUCCAAACUCCUACGGGAGGCAGCAGUGAGGAAUAUUGGUCAAUGGGCGAGAGCCUGAACCAGCCAAGUAGCGUGCAGGACGACGGCCCUAUGGGUUGUAAACUGCUUUUAUGCGGGGAUAAAGUCUGGGAUGCGUCCCAUUUUGCAGGUACCGCAUGAAUAAGGACCGGCUAAUUCCGUGCCAGCAGCCGCGGUAAUACGGAAGGUCCGGGCGUUAUCCGGAUUUAUUGGGUUUAAAGGGAGCGCAGGCGGUCUUAUAAGCGUGACGUGAAAUGCAGCGGCUCAACCGUAUGAUGUGCGUCGCGAACUGUGAGACUUGAGUGUAUUCGAUGUCAGCGGAAUUUGUGGUGUAGCGGUGAAAUGCUUAGAUAUCACGAAGAACUCCGAUUG